Molecule: non-coding RNA, 46 nt
Organism: Aedes aegypti (yellow fever mosquito)
Lineage: Eukaryota; Metazoa; Arthropoda; Insecta; Diptera; Culicidae
Source: Rfam
AAAACGGUUCUUUUCAGAGCCACCAAUUAAUAUCAGAGUUAUUUGU